Lactuca sativa (garden lettuce) is the source of this 275-nucleotide non-coding RNA. Lineage: Eukaryota; Viridiplantae; Streptophyta; Magnoliopsida; Asterales; Asteraceae. The record is from RefSeq and is a predicted model, not a curated record.
CUGCUUCCGAUUUGAGAAACACCAAUGUUAGACUCAAGGAUACAGUAACAAAGUUGAGAUCUAGCAGAAACUUUUGUGUGGAUAUCAUACUCUUAUGUUUAAUUCUUGGGAUCGCUGCAUACCUAUACAAUGUAUUAAAGUGAAUUUCGCAAGGCCAAGAUACAAUAUUUGAUGAUUCGGUACUUUUAUUGUUGGGUAUGAGAAUGACUAAACGUAAAUGCUUUAUAUGUAAUUUUUGGAAGGCAGGAUUUUAUAGAAAGUCGGAACUGUUAUAG